GAUGAACGCUGGCGGCGUGCCUAAUGCAUGCAAGUCGAACGAGGUCUCCGGACCUAGUGGCGAACGGGUGAGUAACACGUUGGUACCUACCCCGAAGUGGGGAAUAACUGCCCGAAAGGGAGGCUAAUACCGCAUAAUACCGCAAGGUUAAAGCAGUAAUGCGUUUCGGGAGGGGCCUGCGUCCCAUUAGCUAGUUGGUAGGGUAAUGGCCUACCAAGGCGACGAUGGGUAGCUGGAUCGAGAGGUUGACCAGCCACACUGGGACUGAGAUACGGCCCAGACUCCUACGGGAGGCAGCAGUAAGGAAUCUUCCACAAUGGACGAAAGUCUGAUGGAGCAACGCCGCGUGCAGGAUGACGGCCUUCGGGUUGUAAACUGCUUUUAUACGGGAAGAUUAUGACGGUACCGUAUGAAUAAGGACCGGCUAACUACGUGCCAGCCGCCGCAGUAA
This 451-nucleotide ribosomal RNA is filed under the name uncultured bacterium. RNAcentral describes it as "partial 16S ribosomal RNA". It matches the Rfam family "Bacterial small subunit ribosomal RNA", at positions 28 to 523 of the family's 1533-position model. The record is from RNAcentral.